AGCCAAGAGCCAGGAGCUUCUUCCAGGUCUCCCAGCAACAGAAGACGGAUUGUCACAGGAACCAGUGCCCGAGAUGAUCAUGCCUGUCCAUCACGUGACUGUGAGAUGACCUGUUCUACUCAGGAUUGCCACAGUCAAGUUACAAGAGAGCCAGUAAAGUCUGAACACGGGAUUUAGGAGACACGCUAAAAUAAAACCACUGCCAAUUGGAAAUCUAAAUUGAACCGGGGCAUUCUGUAUUUAAAUCAGAGUUAGUGUCAUGUCCUGGAGAGGCAGCGCCUUGGCCAAGCCGACUGGAAAUGCCGGAAGCCAUCUGGAGGCGCAUGCUGAGUCACAGGGUCCAGAGAAAAACAAGAACUUGGUGACGCCCAAGGAAGGGGGUGGGGAGAACUCUCCCUGGAGAUCUCAGCGGGGCACCGGAAAUAGAAACAGCUCGCUUUGAAGUAUGUGGGAGAGUGUCUGUCUUUCACAGGUCACUGCAAGGUUGCAGUCCAGUGCCUUUCAAGCGCCAACUGAAUGUACAUGCAGAUGCUGGUAGACCUGCUGGUGAAAUGGUGGCUCUUAACUACCUUAGCAAACUAAGUAAAUUCUGGCUUUCCCUCUUUUCUGGCCUCCUUCUUGUCUGCCCUGGGGCAGUUCCCUGGGUCCUCUUCUGUAAGGAUCAUCCUAGUCUCAUGGAGACAGUUGAGAGCUUAAAUGAAACCAUGUUUUAUUGUG
Ochotona curzoniae (black-lipped pika) is the source of this 717-nucleotide long non-coding RNA. RefSeq lists it as uncharacterized. The record is from RefSeq and is a predicted model, not a curated record. The transcript is spliced from 5 exons. NCBI's taxonomy places the organism in Eukaryota, Metazoa, Chordata, Mammalia, Lagomorpha, Ochotonidae.